This 301-nucleotide ribosomal RNA is filed under the name uncultured bacterium. RNAcentral's name for it is "partial 16S ribosomal RNA". It matches the Rfam family "Bacterial small subunit ribosomal RNA", at positions 509 to 807 of the family's 1533-position model. The record is from RNAcentral.
CAGUAGCCGCGGUAAUACGAAGGGGGCGAGCGUUGUUCGGAUUUACUGGGCGUAAAGGGCGCGCAGGCGGCAGAUCAAGUCAGAUGUGAAAGCCCCGGGCUUAACCUGGGAACUGCGCUUGUGACUGCACAGCUAGAGUAUGGCAGAGGGGGGUGGAAUUCCACGUGUAGCAGUGAAAUGCGUAGAGAUGUGGAGGAACACCGAUGGCGAAGGCAGCCCCCUGGGCCAAUACUGACGCUCAUGCACGAAAGCGUGGGGAGCAAACAGGAUUAGAUACCCCUGUAGUCCCUGUCUCUUAUAC